AUAUCAGCCAAUUCAUUGCUUCUCCUUGUUAUACUAGCUGCUUCACCAGAAGCUACUGUUGAUCGUGUCACUUUCAUUAGACUAAUUGGCUAUUAUUCUGGAGAGUACCCACAUCACUUUGAUUUACCAGUCUUGACACGACUGACAAUGCUACUCUUUUUUCAAUAGAUGAUAGAGCCCUGUCAUCAUUAGGAGACUCAAGAAUAUCAUCUAAUGACACCUGGCAUGAGUCACUGUGUUUGCUACAUUCCUCUCCAAGUCAAAGAACAAUUUCCCUGUUAAUUCAGACAUUCUAGUGAAAGUGUCUUCAUUUGAAUAAUGGU
Amphimedon queenslandica is the source of this 323-nucleotide long non-coding RNA. RefSeq lists it as uncharacterized. Lineage: Eukaryota; Metazoa; Porifera; Demospongiae; Haplosclerida; Niphatidae. The record is from RefSeq and is a predicted model, not a curated record. The transcript is spliced from 3 exons.